GUCUGGUUGGCUCAGUUGGUAGAGCGUCGGUCUCAUAUUACAUGACAUCUCCUCAGGAGUUGCAAUCCGAAGAUCGCGAGUUCGAUCCUCGCACCGGACA
Geopyxis carbonaria is the source of this 100-nucleotide non-coding RNA. Lineage: Eukaryota; Fungi; Ascomycota; Pezizomycetes; Pezizales; Tarzettaceae. The record is from the annotation of a GenBank genome assembly.